RNAcentral lists this ribosomal RNA (460 nucleotides) under uncultured bacterium. RNAcentral's name for it is "partial 16S ribosomal RNA". It matches the Rfam family "Bacterial small subunit ribosomal RNA", at positions 338 to 795 of the family's 1533-position model. The record is from RNAcentral.
CCUACGGGUGGCUGCAGUGCGGACUAUUGGUCAAUGGACGGGAGUCUGAACCAGCCAAGUAGCGUGAAGGAUGACUGCCCUAUGGGUUGUAAACUUCUUUUAUAUGGGAAUAAAACAGGUUAUGGAUACUCUUUUGUAUGUACCGUAUGACUAAGGAUCGGCUAAUUCCGUGCCAGCAGCCGCGGUAAUACGGAGGAUCCGAGCUUUAUCCGGAUUUAUUGGGUUUAAAGGGAGCGUAGGUGGAUUGUUAAGUCAGUUGUGAAAGUUUGCGGCUCAACCGUAACAUUGCAGUUGAAACUGGCAGUCUUGAUUACAGGAGAGGUAGGCGGAAUUCGUGGUGUAGCGGUGAAAUGCUUAGAUAUCACGAAGAACUCCGAUUGCGAAGGCAGCACACUGGACUGCAACUGACACUGAAGCUCGAAAGUGUGGGUAUCAAACAGGAUUAGAUACCCGAGUAGUC